UUUCCGGUUGAUCCUGCCGGAGGCCACUGCUAUCGGAGUUCGAUUAAGCCAUGCGAGUCGAGAGGGUUCAGACCCUCGGCGGACUGCUCAGUAACACGUGGAUAACCUGCCCUAAGGUGGAGCAUAACCCCGGGAAACUGGGGAUAAUACUCCAUAGAUUAGAGACACUGGAAUGUUCUUUAGUCGAAAGUUCUGGCGCCUUAGGAUGGAUCUGCGGUCGAUUAGGUUGUUGUUGGGGUAACGGCCCAACAAGCCUGUAAUCGAUACGGGUUGUGGGAGCAAGAGCCCGGAGAUGGAAUCUGAGACACGAUUCCAGGCCCUACGGGGCGCAGCAGGCGCGAAAACUUUACAAUGCAGGAAACUGUGAUAAGGGAACUCCGAGUGCCCGUAUACGCGGGCUGUCCAGGUGUUUAAAAAUCAUCUGAAGAAAGGGCCGGGCAAGACCGGUGCCAGCCGCCGCGGUAAUACCGGCGGCUCGAGUGGUGGCCACUAUUAUUGGGCUUAAAGCGUCCGUAGCUGGACCGAUAAGUCUCUUGGGAAAUCCGCCGGCUCAACCGGCGGGCGUCUAAGGGAUACUGUUAGUCUAGGGACCGGGAGAGGUGAGAGGUACUCCGGGGGUAGGAGUGAAAUCCUGUAAUCCCCGGGGGACCACCGAUGGCGAAGGCAUCUCACCAGAACGGCUCCGACAGUGAGGGACGAAAGCUGGGGGAGCGAACCGGAUUAGAUACCCGGGUAGUCCCACCCGUAAACUAUGCGCGUUAGGUGUAUCGAUGACCACGAGUCAUCGAGGUGCCGAAGGGAAACCGUGAAACACGCCGCCUGGGAAGUACGGUCGCAAGGCUGAAACUUAAAGGAAUUGG
RNAcentral lists this ribosomal RNA (860 nucleotides) under uncultured Methanogenium sp. RNAcentral's name for it is "bacterial SSU rRNA". It matches the Rfam family "Archaeal small subunit ribosomal RNA", at positions 1 to 868 of the family's 1478-position model. Lineage: Archaea; Methanobacteriati; Methanobacteriota; Methanomicrobia; Methanomicrobiales; Methanomicrobiaceae. The record is from RNAcentral.